This 498-nucleotide ribosomal RNA is filed under the name uncultured bacterium. RNAcentral's name for it is "bacterial SSU rRNA". It matches the Rfam family "Bacterial small subunit ribosomal RNA", at positions 8 to 518 of the family's 1533-position model. The record is from RNAcentral.
AGAGUUGAUCAUGGCUCAGAACGAACGGCUGGUGGCGUGUCUUAUACAUGCAAGUCGAGCGAGGCAGCAAUGCCGAGCGGCGAACGGGUGAGUAACGCGUAAGCAAUCUGCCCCAUAUCAGGAAAUACCCGUGCCAACGCGCGGUUAAUGUCCAGGAGAGUGGCCCUCUGCAUGGAGGGUUGACUAGAGAUUUAUCGGUAUGGGAUGAGCUUGCGUCCGAUUAGCUAGUUGGCGGGGCAACGGCCCACCAAGGCGACGAUCGGUAGCCGGCCUGAGAGGGUGAUCGGCCACAUUGGGACUGAGAUACGGCCCAGACUCCUACGGGAGGCAGCAGUAGGGAAUAUUGCACAAUGGGGGAAACCCUGAUGCAGCAACGCCACGUGUGGGAAGAAGCAUUUCGGUGUGUAAACCACUGUCAUGAGGGAAUAAGGCCCGCCUUCGGACGGACUUGAAUGUACCUUGAGAGGAAGCACCGGCAAACUUCGUGCCAGCCGCAGC